AGGGUCCCGCCGGGAAGGACGGCUUGCCGGGACACCCAGGGCAGCGCGGAGAGCUGGCCCCACUGGGGUGGUGGGACCCCAGGGUAAAUCAGGCGAGACCGGGCCAGUGGGCGAGAGGGGGCACCCAGGCCCCCCCGGCCCCCCGGGGGAGCAGGGGCUGCCCGGAGCUGCUGGCCGAGAAGGAGCCAAGGUAGGAGCCCCUCCGGGGUCCGAGCGCCAGCGCAGCCCGCUGCCG
This 235-nucleotide long non-coding RNA is filed under the name Apteryx rowi (Okarito brown kiwi). Its description in RNAcentral is "lncRNA (ENSARWG00000011932.1)". Lineage: Eukaryota; Metazoa; Chordata; Aves; Apterygiformes; Apterygidae. The record is from RNAcentral.